GUUUAUGUAGCUUAAAUAAAGCAUGGCACUGAAAAUGCCAAUAUAGAUUUUUAAAAAAUCUCAAAAACG
This 69-nucleotide transfer RNA is filed under the name Pachyhynobius shangchengensis (Shangcheng stout salamander). Its description in RNAcentral is "tRNA-Phe". It matches the Rfam family "tRNA". Rfam says of the family: Transfer RNA (tRNA) molecules are approximately 80 nucleotides in length. Their secondary structure includes four short double-helical elements and three loops (D, anti-codon, and T loops). Lineage: Eukaryota; Metazoa; Chordata; Amphibia; Caudata; Hynobiidae. The record is from RNAcentral.